AAUCCAUAGGUUAAUGAGGCGAACCGGGGGAACUGAAACAUCUAAGUACCCCGAGGAAAAGAAAUCAACCGAGAUUCCCCCAGUAGCGGCGAGCGAACGGGGAGGAGCCCAGAGCCUGAAUCAGCAUGUGUGUUAGUGGAAGCGUCUGGAAAGGCGCGCGAUACAGGGUGACAGCCCCGUACACAAAAGCGCAUGUGCUGUGAGCUCGAUGAGUAGGGCGGGACACGUGGUAUCCUGUCUGAAUAUGGGGGGACCAUCCUCCAAGGCUAAAUACUCCUGACUGACCGAUAGUGAACCAGUACCGUGAGGGAAAGGCGAAAAGAACCCCGGCGAGGGGAGUGAAAAAGAACCUGAAACCGUGUACGUACAAGCAGUGGGAGCACCCUUUUGGGUGUGACUG
RNAcentral lists this ribosomal RNA (400 nucleotides) under Salmonella enterica. RNAcentral describes it as "partial 23S ribosomal RNA". It matches the Rfam family "Bacterial large subunit ribosomal RNA", at positions 161 to 599 of the family's 2925-position model. The record is from RNAcentral. RNAcentral also lists the same sequence under 1 other name. Lineage: Bacteria; Pseudomonadati; Pseudomonadota; Gammaproteobacteria; Enterobacterales; Enterobacteriaceae.